GCUUAUAAUUGUUGAUGUUUAUGGGGUUUUUUUUGGGGGGGGGGAUCUGUCCUUUUCUACUGUAGCAUUCUGAGAUUCACUGAAUGAAAUGUGCAUUAUAAAUAAAAUGUAUUAUUAUUAAUAUUAUUAUUGUUUAAGUUGAAUG
This is a long non-coding RNA of Sphaeramia orbicularis (orbiculate cardinalfish), 145 nucleotides long. RefSeq lists it as uncharacterized. NCBI's taxonomy places the organism in Eukaryota, Metazoa, Chordata, Actinopteri, Kurtiformes, Apogonidae. The transcript is spliced from 3 exons. The record is from RefSeq and is a predicted model, not a curated record.